Molecule: transfer RNA, 76 nt
Filed under: Thermoleophilia bacterium
Lineage: Bacteria; Bacillati; Actinomycetota; Thermoleophilia
Also listed under: 2 other names
Description: tRNA-Glu
Rfam family: tRNA
About the family: Transfer RNA (tRNA) molecules are approximately 80 nucleotides in length. Their secondary structure includes four short double-helical elements and three loops (D, anti-codon, and T loops).
Source: RNAcentral
GGCGCAUUCGUCUAGGGGCCUAGGACGCCGCCCUCUCACGGCGGUAACAUGGGUUCGAAUCCCAUAUGCGCUACCA